Molecule: microRNA precursor, 51 nt
Filed under: Sinocyclocheilus rhinocerous
Lineage: Eukaryota; Metazoa; Chordata; Actinopteri; Cypriniformes; Cyprinidae
Description: miRNA (ENSSRHG00000014785.1)
Source: RNAcentral
CGCGCGGCUGGUGCGUGGUUUAGGUAGUUUCAUGUUGUUGGGAUUGGCUUC